RNAcentral lists this ribosomal RNA (497 nucleotides) under uncultured bacterium. Its description in RNAcentral is "partial 16S ribosomal RNA". It matches the Rfam family "Bacterial small subunit ribosomal RNA", at positions 28 to 507 of the family's 1533-position model. The record is from RNAcentral.
GAUGAACGCUGGCGGCGUGCCUAAUACAUGCAAGUCGAGCGAACAGACGAGGAGCUUGCUCCUCUGACGUUAGCGGCGGACGGGUGAGUAACACGUGGAUAACCUACCUAUAAGACUGGGAUAACUUCGGGAAACCGGAGCUAAUACCGGAUAAUAUAUUGAACCGCAUGGUUCAAUAGUGAAAGACGGUUUUGCUGCCACUUAUAGAUGGAUCCGCGCCGCAUUAGCUAGUUGGUAAGGUAACGGCUUACCAAGGCAACGAUGCGUAGCCGACCUGAGAGGGUGAUCGGCCACACGGGAACUGAGACACGGUCCAGACUCCUACGGGAGGCAGCAGUAGGGAAUCUUCCGCGAUGGGCGAAAGCCUGACGGAGCAACGCCGCGUGAGUGAUGAAGGUCUUCGGAUCGUAAAACUCUGUUAUUAGGGAAGAACAAAUGUGUAAGUAACUAUGCACGUCUUGACGGUACCUAAUCAGAAAGCCACGGCUAACUACGUG